This 381-nucleotide ribosomal RNA is filed under the name Triticum aestivum (bread wheat). RNAcentral's name for it is "partial small subunit ribosomal RNA". Lineage: Eukaryota; Viridiplantae; Streptophyta; Magnoliopsida; Poales; Poaceae. The record is from RNAcentral.
AUGGUAAUGGAAGGAUACAUUAUCUUUGACUUGGUUAAACCCACUGGUGAGAGGCCUGAUGCUAUUACAUUUACUUCAGUUACCAGUGGAUAUUUCCUAGUUGCCAAGAUGGAAGAAGCUUUCAGAAUACCUAAUGCUAUGGUACCGGUUGGUGUGAGGCCUAGUUUAAUUAUGCAGCACUUCUCGGUGGCUGUUGCAAAAAUGGAAGAAUCGAUGCUGGGCAAAAGUGUUAGCCUGUAUCUUACAAUUUAUGUUUCUGGCAUCAUAUUGGAUGGAGAACUUUGUUGCAUUAUUUCAAUUAUUGUCGCAGCAAAAACUUCUUACUGUUUCAUGUGUUACUUUUACUGGCACAUUGACUUGAUAGUUAAACUGCUGAUCUAA